This 253-nucleotide ribosomal RNA is filed under the name uncultured bacterium. RNAcentral's name for it is "partial 16S ribosomal RNA". It matches the Rfam family "Bacterial small subunit ribosomal RNA", at positions 524 to 776 of the family's 1533-position model. The record is from RNAcentral.
UACGUAGGGGGCUAGCGUUGUCCGGAAUCAUUGGGCGUAAAGCGCGUGUAGGCGGCCCGGUAAGUCCGCUGUGAAAGUCGGGGGCUCAACCCUCGGAAGCCGGUGGAUACUGUCGGGCUCGAGUACGGAAGAGGCGAGUGGAAUUCCUGGUGUAGCGGUGAAAUGCGCAGAUAUCAGGAGGAACACCAGCGGCGAAGGCGGCAUCCUGGACUGGUCCUGACACUCAGGAGCGAAAGCGUGGGGAGCGAUCCGG